This 595-nucleotide ribosomal RNA is filed under the name Aureobasidium melanogenum. Its description in RNAcentral is "partial 18S ribosomal RNA". The stretch from base 236 to 389 matches the Rfam family "5.8S ribosomal RNA". The record is from RNAcentral. Lineage: Eukaryota; Fungi; Ascomycota; Dothideomycetes; Dothideales; Saccotheciaceae.
GAGGAAGUAAAAGUCGUAACAAGGUUUCCGUAGGUGAACCUGCGGAAGGAUCAUUAAAGAGUAAGGGUGCUCAGCGCCCGACCUCCAACCCUUUGUUGUUAAAACUACCUUGUUGCUUUGGCGGGACCGCUCGGUCUCGAGCCGCUGGGGAUUCGUCCCAGGCGAGCGCCCGCCAGAGUUAAACCAAACUCUUGUUAUUAAACCGGUCGUCUGAGUUAAAAUUUUGAUAAAUCAAAACUUUCAACAACGGAUCUCUUGGUUCUCGCAUCGAUGAAGAACGCAGCGAAAUGCGAUAAGUAAUGUGAAUUGCAGAAUUCAGUGAAUCAUCGAAUCUUUGAACGCACAUUGCGCCCCUUGGUAUUCCGAGGGGCAUGCCUGUUCGAGCGUCAUUACACCACUCAAGCUAUGCUUGGUAUUGGGUGCCGUCCUUAGUUGGGCGCGCCUUAAAGACCUCGGCGAGGCCUACCGGCUUUAGGCGUAGUAGAAUUUAUUCGAACGUCUGUCAAAGGAGAGGACUUCUGCCGACUGAAACCUUUUAUUUUUCUAGGUUGACCUCGGAUCAGGUAGGGAUACCCGCUGAACUUAAGCAUAUCAA